CAGUAGCCACGGUAAUACGUAGGUCCCGAGCGUUGUCCGGAUUUAUUGGGCGUAAAGCGAGCGCAGGCGGUUAGAUAAGUCUGAAGUUAAAGGCUGUGGCUUAACCAUAGUACGCUUUGGAAACUGUUUAACUUGAGUGCAAGAGGGGAGAGUGGAAUUCCAUGUGUAGCGGUGAAGUGCGUAGAUAUAUGGAGGAACACCGGUGGCGAAAGCGGCUCUCUGGCUUGUAACUGACGCUGAGGCUCGAAAGCGUGGGGAGCAAACAGGAUUAGAUACCCCCGUAGUCCCUGUCUCUUAUACA
This 301-nucleotide ribosomal RNA is filed under the name uncultured bacterium. RNAcentral describes it as "partial 16S ribosomal RNA". It matches the Rfam family "Bacterial small subunit ribosomal RNA", at positions 509 to 808 of the family's 1533-position model. The record is from RNAcentral.